CCUACGGGGGCUGCAGCUAAGAAUCUUCCUCAAUGGGGGAAACCCUGAAGGAGCGACACUGCGUGCAGGAUGAAGGCCCUUUGGGUUGUAAACUGCUUUUGCAGGGGAGAAAUAACCGAAUGGGAUGAUAGUACUCUGCGAAUAAGUCCCGGCUAACUACGUGCCAGCAGCCGCGGUAAUACGUAAGGGGCGACAGUUGCUCGGAAUCACUGGGCGUAAAGGGCCGGUAGGUGGCUUUAUACGUCGGUUGUCAAAUACCUAUGCUCAACGUGGGAGAGGCGACCGAUACGGUAGAGCGUGAGUAGAGGAGGGGAUGAUGGAAUACCCGGUGUAGGGGUGAAAUCGGUUGAGAGCGGGUAGAACACCGAUGGCGAAAGCGAUCAUCUAGCCUCAUACUGACACUCAACGGCGAAAGCCAGGGGAGCGAACG
RNAcentral lists this ribosomal RNA (430 nucleotides) under uncultured prokaryote. RNAcentral's name for it is "bacterial SSU rRNA". It matches the Rfam family "Bacterial small subunit ribosomal RNA", at positions 338 to 774 of the family's 1533-position model. The record is from RNAcentral.